GAGUUUGAUCCUGGCUCAGGAUGAACGCCGGCGGUGUGCCUAAUACAUGCAAGUCGAACGCGUUGGCCUAACUGAUUGAACGUGCUUGCACGGACUUGACGUUGGUUUACCAACGAGUGGCGGACGGGUGAGUAACACGUAGGUAACUUGCCCCAAAGCGGGGGAUAACAUUUGGAAACAGAUGCUAAUACCGCAUAACAGUUUGAAUCGCAUGAUUCAAACUUAAAAGAUGGUUUCGGCUAUCACUUUGGGAUGGACCUGCGGCGCAUUAGCUUGUUGGUAGGGUAACGGCCUACCAAGGCUGUGAUGCGUAGCCGAGUUGAGAGACUGAUCGGCCACAAUGGAACUGAGACACGGUCCAUACUCCUACGGGAGGCAGCAGUAGGGAAUCUUCCACAAUGGGCGCAAGCCUGAUGGAGCAACACCGCGUGAGUGAAGAAGGGUUUCGGCUCGUAAAGCUCUGUUGUUAGAGAAGAACGUGCGUGAGAGCAACUGUUCACGCAGUGACGGUAUCUAACCAGAAAGUCACGGCUAACUACGUGCCAGCAGCCGCGGUAAUACGUAGGUGGCAAGCGUUAUCCGGAUUUAUUGGGCGUAAAGCGAGCGCAGGCGGUUUGAUAAGUCUGAUGUGAAAGCCUUUGGCUUAACCAAAGAAGUGCAUCGGAAACUGUCAGACUUGAGUGCAGAAGAGGGCAGUGGAACUCCAUGUGUAGCGGUGAAAUGCGUAGA
RNAcentral lists this ribosomal RNA (729 nucleotides) under uncultured bacterium. Its description in RNAcentral is "bacterial SSU rRNA". It matches the Rfam family "Bacterial small subunit ribosomal RNA", at positions 9 to 694 of the family's 1533-position model. The record is from RNAcentral.